CCUACGGGAGGCAGCAGUGGGGAAUAUUGCACAAUGGGCGAAACCCUGAUGCAGCGACGCCGCGUGAAGGAAGACGUAUUUCGGUAUUGAAACUUCUAUCAGCAGGGAAGAAAAUUACGGUACCUGACUAAUAAGCCCCGGCUAACUACGUGCCAGCAGCCGCGGUAAUGCGUCGGGGGCAAGCGUUAUCCGGAUUUACUGGGUGUAAAGGGAGCUUAGGCGGUUUAGUAAGUCCGUAGUUAAAGGACUGGGCUCAACUCCGGGACUGCUUUUGAAACUGUGGAACUAGAUUGCAGGAGAGGUAAGCGGAAUUCGUGGUGUAGCGGUGAAAUGCGUAGAUAUUAGGCGGAACACCAGUGGCGAAGGCGGCUUACUGGACUGUAAAUGACGCUGAGGCACGAAAGCGUGGGGAGCAAACAGGAUUAGAUACCCGAGUAGUC
RNAcentral lists this ribosomal RNA (440 nucleotides) under uncultured bacterium. Its description in RNAcentral is "partial 16S ribosomal RNA". It matches the Rfam family "Bacterial small subunit ribosomal RNA", at positions 338 to 795 of the family's 1533-position model. The record is from RNAcentral.